GUUUUGCUUGUUGAAUCAAAACUAGAAAAUCAAGAGCAUCGUUUCCAAAUUCCAGUCCAAAUCCGAGAGAAGCUGAUCUAGGCAAAGGAAGAAGGGGGAAAUGGUUUGUGUAUCUUUAUCUUCUGCUGUUUCACUCUACAGUCCAUCUCUCUACAAAUCCAAUCUCUCCGUUCCUCUCUCUCUAAGAUCUUCACCGCCGAAUGCUAAGCUCUCCUUCAGUCCUGCCGCUAAACGGAGUUCCAUCUGUUAUAAUCCCCUCAGGUUUGCUGUCGGUAGCGA
Molecule: unclassified non-coding RNA, 279 nt
Filed under: Hevea brasiliensis (rubber tree)
Lineage: Eukaryota; Viridiplantae; Streptophyta; Magnoliopsida; Malpighiales; Euphorbiaceae
Source: RNAcentral